GUGGGGAAUAUUGGACAAUGGGCGAAAGCCUGACCCAGCCAUGCCGCGUGAGUGAUGAAGGCCUUAGGGUUGUAAAGCUCUUUCAGUAGGGAAGAUAAUGACGGUACCUACAGAAGAAGCCCCGGCUAACUUCGUGCCAGCAGCCGCGGUAAUACGACGGGGGCUAGCGUUGUUCGGCUUUACUGGGCGUAAAGCGCACGUAGGCGGAUUGGUCAGUUAGAGGUGAAAUCCUGGAGCUCAACUCCAGACCUGCCUUUAAUACUGCCAGUCUAGAGUCCAGAAGAGGUGAGUGGAACUCCUAGUGUAGAGGGGGAAUUCGUAGAUAUUCGGAAGAACACCAGUGGCGAAGGCUACUCACUGGCCCAAUACUGACGCUGAGGCGCGAAAGCGUGGGGAGCAAACAGGAUUAGAAACCCGGGUAGUCC
This 425-nucleotide ribosomal RNA is filed under the name uncultured bacterium. RNAcentral's name for it is "partial 16S ribosomal RNA". It matches the Rfam family "Bacterial small subunit ribosomal RNA", at positions 354 to 796 of the family's 1533-position model. The record is from RNAcentral.